This 259-nucleotide ribosomal RNA is filed under the name uncultured Glomus. RNAcentral's name for it is "partial 18S ribosomal RNA". It matches the Rfam family "Eukaryotic small subunit ribosomal RNA", at positions 624 to 886 of the family's 1831-position model. Lineage: Eukaryota; Fungi; Glomeromycota; Glomeromycetes; Glomerales; Glomeraceae. The record is from RNAcentral.
AAGCUCGUAGUUGAAUUUCGGGGUUAGUAGGUUGGUCAUGCCUCUGGUAUGUACUGGUCUCACUGAUUCCUCCUUCCUUAUGAACCGUAAUGCCAUUAAUUUGGUGUUGCGGGGGAAUUUGGACUGUUACUUUGAAAAAAUUAGAGUGUUUAAAGCAAGCUAACGCUUGAAUACAUUAGCAUGGAAUAAUGAAAUAGGACGUUCGAUCUUAUUUUGUUGGUUUCUAGGAUUGACGUAAUGAUUAAUAGGGAUAGUUGGG